CGUAGGGGGCCAGCGUUGUCCGGAUUCAUUGGGCGUAAAGCGCGUGUAGGCGGCCGUGCAGGUCCGGUGUGAAAACUCGAGGCUCAACCUCGAGAGGUCAUCGGAAACCGCACGGCUAGAGUCCGGAAGAGGAGAGUGGAAUUCCUGGUGUAGCGGUGAAAUGCGCAGAUAUCAGGAAGAACACCUAUGGCGAAGGCAGCUCUCUGGGACGGUACUGACGCUGAGACGCGAAAGCGUGGGGAGCGAACAGGAUUAGAUACCCUGGUAGUCCACGCCGUAAACGAUGGGUGCUAGGUGUGGGUGGUGUCGACUCCAUCCGUGCCGAAGCUAACGCAUUAAGCACCCCGCCUGGGGAGUACGGCCGCAAGGCUA
Molecule: ribosomal RNA, 372 nt
Filed under: uncultured organism
Description: bacterial SSU rRNA
Rfam family: Bacterial small subunit ribosomal RNA
Source: RNAcentral